RNAcentral lists this ribosomal RNA (253 nucleotides) under uncultured bacterium. RNAcentral's name for it is "partial 16S ribosomal RNA". It matches the Rfam family "Bacterial small subunit ribosomal RNA", at positions 524 to 776 of the family's 1533-position model. The record is from RNAcentral.
UACGUAGGGUGCAGGCGUUAAUCGGAAUUACUGGGCGUAAAGCGUGCGCAGGCGGUCUUUUAAGUCAGAUGUGAAAUCCCCGGGCUUAACCUGGGAACUGCGUUUGAAACUGGAAGGCUUGAGUGUGGCAGAGGGGGGUGGAAUUCCACGUGUAGCAGUGAAAUGCGUAGAGAUGUGGAGGAACACCGAUGGCGAAGGCAGCCCUCUGGGCCAACACUGACGCUCAGGCACGAAAGCGUGGGGAGCAAACAGG